UACAGAGGUGGCAAGCGUUGUUCGGAAUUACUGGGCGUAAAGGGCGCGUAGGCGGCCUUCUAAGUCAGACGUGAAAUCCCCCGGCUUAACCUGGGAACUGCGUCUGAUACUGGAGGGCUUGAGUAUGGGAGAGGGAUGUAGAAUUCCAGGUGUAGCGGUGAAAUGCGUAGAUAUCAGGAGGAACACCGGUGGUGUAGACGGCUUUCUGGACCGUAACUGACGCUGAGACACGAAAGCGUGGGUAGCAAACAGG
RNAcentral lists this ribosomal RNA (253 nucleotides) under uncultured bacterium. RNAcentral's name for it is "partial 16S ribosomal RNA". It matches the Rfam family "Bacterial small subunit ribosomal RNA", at positions 524 to 776 of the family's 1533-position model. The record is from RNAcentral.